UUAAUUUAAAAUUAUAACUCUUAUUCUCCUUGUUCUAUUUUAACCAUCCAAACACUAUUUACCUUAUUCCUAAAAACAACCUAAUUUUCAUCCAAACACAAAAUUGAUCUAGUUUCUAUUUAACCUGAACUUAUACUUAUCCCUGUAAUAAGCAAUUUUUACUUAUAUCCGAACCAAAUGCAGCAUAGGGGUAUAUUUGAAAUAGGUUGGAACGUAAAAAGGAUAUUUUUAAUAUUAGCCUUUUAAAAGGGAUAAAUCAGAAAGUCGAAAAUUUUUCAGAGAUAUAUAAGCAAUUGCCCCUUUAUAAUAAGUUACAUUAUACUUUUGGUCCUCAAACUAUGAGGUGCGUGAUAUUUUGAUUCUCAAAUUUUAGUUUGUUGCAAUUUUUGGCUCCAAAUUUCUGAAUUGCCUUAAUCAAGUCCUACAACAUAAUUUAGUUAGUUAAGUCUUGACAAAUUAUUGAUAUAUAGAAAUGAUGUGAGAAAUGAUGUGAAAGCACUGUAAUCGAUAAUGCGAAAAUAAUUAAUAUUCUGUAUUAUUUCUACAUUAAUAAUUAGUUAAUAUUUAGCUAACCAAAUUGGAUUGUGAACCUGAUUGUAAUAAUUUAGAAACUUUGAGUCAGAAAUUGUAAGAUAUUAAAUUUGAGGACUAGUAUCAUCUACCUCAUAGUUUGAGGACUAUAUAUAUAUAUAUAUAUAUAUAUAUAUAUAGAAUUAGGCUGGAAUACUAUUAAUAGUAAAACGUUCUUUUUGCUAUCAAGUUUUUAACCCUUCGAUGAAAAAUUGUAGGGUCAGGAUGAUAUUAGUCGGUUGGAGUUGAGUGGUCCUCCUAGGGUUGAGUGGUCCCUACUGGGUUAUAGUAUUUAAUCCAAUGGUUAGAAAUAAUGAAAAGAGUUGAUCCAAAGGCUAAAAAACUGGUAGCAACAAUGGAAUUUUGCUACUAAUAGUAGCCCAGUCCAACUNN
Molecule: long non-coding RNA, 963 nt
Filed under: Ananas comosus (pineapple)
Lineage: Eukaryota; Viridiplantae; Streptophyta; Magnoliopsida; Poales; Bromeliaceae
Description: long non-coding RNA (ACOM_LNC043996)
Source: RNAcentral